This 1196-nucleotide long non-coding RNA is filed under the name Anser brachyrhynchus (Pink-footed goose). Its description in RNAcentral is "lncRNA (ENSABRG00000007390.1)". The record is from RNAcentral. Lineage: Eukaryota; Metazoa; Chordata; Aves; Anseriformes; Anatidae.
GAAAAACAUCUGUCAUGGCUUAUCUAUCAGGCAAUGAAUGUGUUUAGGGUGGAAAGUUGAGGUCUGUUGCUUGUACUGAUGGCACAGUUACAGCCUGGAAUGUGCAAGAGUUGACUGGAAAACUGCAUUGACCUGACCUGAAGUACAACAAUCUGCAGUCCCUGAAUGAGAUCUGAAGUGCAAGCAAUACAACGGAUAUUUUUACUUUAACAAGGUAAUCUUUGGAAGGAACUACUUGGCUGUGUUUCAGAAAUGCAGAAACACAAUGGAGCGCGCUGAGUCACGGUAAUCCAGGGGGGAUGUAGGUCCAACCAGAGAAAAUGCAAAUUAGAAAACAAGUAGUGUUUGUUUGUUUUGAGUAAAAUCUUCAUUGCACACCUGAGGAGUAAUUUUUGAAGUGUUUCUGAGAAUUUCACAUAGCCUAAUUCACUUUGAUGUGAACAAACAAUACUGUAAUAAUUAACUAACAGGCACCUUACUGUUCGUGACCAGGCGGUCACCAGGCGGUCACCAGGCGGUGACCAGGCAAAGGCGGUCAGGCUCCUCGCAGGCAGUACCACAUCCGAAAGCCAUUGCAGCCCCAGCACAGGCUCACGACGGCUGCCUGCGGAGCACGCAGAGCCUGGCAGGGGCAAUCUGGGCAACAGCUUGCUUCUUUUCCACAUCACCAUUUUCACGCUGCUCUGCUACUCACUCAGUAAACAAAGAGCCUUUCCUAUCUCACGCCCCCACCCACCUCACUUUAGGCAGCUUCUGCAGGAGGAACCAAACCACUUAUGCACUGAAGAUUCCAGAUGUGAAUCAGGCUUCGUGUGUGACAGCAUUUCAGGAUGCCAGGAUCGAUUUACCACUGUUUCACCUAGCAGUUUGUGCUAGUUUGUAGCUGUUGGGACUACUGCGAUGACAGAUACCUCUCCAAGGACACCUUAUUGAAGGGAGCAGGACGUAUAAGGCAAUGUAUGAAGCAGGUCUCAGGUUUCAUACUAUCAGGAAGAUUUGAAAGCACACCUUCCUGCAUGGAAGGGCACAGAACAGAAAUAAUUCUCCUGGGAUGUGGAUCAGCACUGAAGCAGUAUUCUAUUUUCAGAGCUCUACUGGAAUGUUUCCAAGACCACCAUGACACAACUACUUCAGUAUGGGUGGUAAACAUGUCUCUACUGCAAACUUUUCUGCACUGUUUGCUGUGCAUUCUUUAA